GGGGCUGAUCGGUUUCGACAGUCGCUGCUGAUCUGAGUGAAGCGGGCCGAGGAUGCAGAGUUAUCUCGUAAACGCUCUCUGCAAACCAAUAAGUGCCAACUCUAAGCGCACUGACUUCGCCCUCGCUGCCUAAGCGAGCCCGAGUCCGUUAGACCGUGGGCGAUCCCGCCACGGACCCUAACGUCAUUUAGGGAUCUUGCUGUGACACGGGGUCGCGACGUGUCACGGGACUUUUCUGCGGCUGGGCCCGUCGAUCUAUGUGUCUGUGCUAAAGAUCGGGGCCGAGUAGAACGCCUCCAUAGACUGCGCCCGGAGAAACCUUAGUGAACCGGUGCUGGACGCGGGUUCGAUUCCCGCCAGCUCCACGA
This 368-nucleotide transfer-messenger RNA is filed under the name Microbacterium sorbitolivorans. RNAcentral's name for it is "Standard tmRNA". It matches the Rfam family "transfer-messenger RNA". Rfam says of the family: Bacterial tmRNA, also known as 10Sa RNA or SsrA, is named for its dual tRNA and mRNA-like properties. Its role is to liberate the mRNA from a stalled ribosome. The record is from Rfam by way of RNAcentral. Lineage: Bacteria; Bacillati; Actinomycetota; Actinomycetes; Micrococcales; Microbacteriaceae.